UACAGAGGUCCCAAGCGUUGUUCGGAUUCACUGGGCGUAAAGGGUGCGUAGGUGGUCGGGUAAGUCUGAUGUGAAAUCUCCGAGCUUAACUCGGAAAUGGCAUUGGAUACUAUUCGGCUGGAGGUUUGGAGGGGGGACUGGAAUUCUCGGUGUAGCAGUGAAAUGCGUAGAUAUCAGGAGGAACACCGGCGGUGUAGACGGCUCCCUGGACCGUAACUGACGCUGAGACACGAAAGCGUGGGUAGCAAACAGG
RNAcentral lists this ribosomal RNA (253 nucleotides) under uncultured bacterium. Its description in RNAcentral is "partial 16S ribosomal RNA". It matches the Rfam family "Bacterial small subunit ribosomal RNA", at positions 524 to 776 of the family's 1533-position model. The record is from RNAcentral.